UCCCCAACCUAAUAAAAACCCUUCAAACUCACUUUUGUGCGUCACCCCCUUCCCAGCCGCCUCCACUGCUUCCCUUCCCAGCCGCCUGUCGCCUCCCCUGCGUUCCCUUCCCAGCCGCCUCCCCAUUUCUUCCAUUUUCCCUUUUUCUUCUUCAACGACAAUUUCUCUCUUCACAUGUAUAGAGCAAACCAACGGAAUUAUUGGCUAGAUAGUCCGGCGCCUUCUCUAUUUCCAGUAUUGCGAUAGGUAUUGAGUGAAACCUUCAAGAUUAUAAUGUAAUAUUGGGAGGAGCCAUAGUUCGUCGAAAAGACAUUACAAAUAAAAAUUAGACGAAAAUCCUUUCAAAAGUUUAUAGAAAAGUAUUCAGGGUGCAUUUUAAUCCGUUGAAUGAAAGCAGAUCAAAGAUCAAUUUUGAUGCAAAGAGUGAAAUUACUUUAUCGUUGAAUGCAGAAGAUAAUCUGGUGGCAACAUCUUCAAUCUCCAUAUCAAAUACUUAGAGCUUAGUUUUAUUUUGAUGUGGAACCCUUCAAAAUUUGUAGAUUAGAGUUGAAUAACCGAGUGAACUUUAGAUAGAUAAUUGUAUAUUUUAGAAUUAAUUUUUGAAACUUUUUAAUGUAAAUUUGUAUAGUAAAGUGAUAUUCAAAAUUUAUUAUUGUGUGUUAUAUGGUUU
Long non-coding RNA from Nicotiana attenuata, 670 nucleotides. RefSeq lists it as uncharacterized. The record is from RefSeq and is a predicted model, not a curated record. Lineage: Eukaryota; Viridiplantae; Streptophyta; Magnoliopsida; Solanales; Solanaceae. The transcript is spliced from 3 exons.